RNAcentral lists this ribosomal RNA (169 nucleotides) under uncultured soil bacterium. RNAcentral's name for it is "partial 16S ribosomal RNA". It matches the Rfam family "Bacterial small subunit ribosomal RNA", at positions 335 to 521 of the family's 1533-position model. The record is from RNAcentral.
ACUCCUACGGGAGGCAGCAGUGGGGAAUAUUGGACAAUGGGCGAAAGCCUGAUCCAGCCAUGCCGCGUGAGUGAUGAAGGCAUUAGGGUUGCAAAGCUCUUUCAGUGGGGAAGAUAAUGACGGUACCCACAGAAGAAGCCCCGGCUAACUUCGUGCCAGCCGCCGCAGU